RNAcentral lists this ribosomal RNA (253 nucleotides) under uncultured bacterium. Its description in RNAcentral is "partial 16S ribosomal RNA". It matches the Rfam family "Bacterial small subunit ribosomal RNA", at positions 524 to 776 of the family's 1533-position model. The record is from RNAcentral.
UACGUAGGGUGCAAGCGUUAAUCGGAAUUACUGGGCGUAAAGCGUGCGCAGGCGGUUUUGUAAGACCGAUGUGAAAUCCCCGGGCUUAACCUGGGAACUGCAUUGGUGACUGCAAGGCUUGAGUGUGUCAGAGGGGGGUGGAAUUCCGCGUGUAGCAGUGAAAUGCGUAGAUAUGCGGAGGAACACCGAUGGCGAAGGCAGCCCCCUGGGAUAACACUGACGCUCAUGCACGAAAGCGUGGGGAGCAAACAGG